CCUACGGGUGGCAGCAGCUAAGAAUAGUCCGCAAUGGGGGAAACCCUGACGGUGCGACGCCGCGUGGGUGAUGAAGGCCUGACGGUUGUAAAGCCCUUUUCUCAGCGAAGAAUAAGGUGAGGAGUGGAACGCCUCAUCGAUGACGUUAGUUGAGGAAGAAGCCCCGGCCAAUUACGUGCCAGCAGCCGCGGUAACACGUAAGGGGCGAGCGUUGUUCGGAAUUAUUGGGCGUAAAGGGCGCGUAGGCGGUGCAGCAAGCUUGGUGUAAAAGGCUCGGGCUCAACCCGAGGAAUGCGCUGGGAACUGCUGCGCUAGAGUCUUGGAGGGGAAGCUGGAACUCCUGGUGGAGGGGUGAAAUCUGUAGAUAUCAGGAAGAACACCGGUAGCGAAGGCGAGCUUCUGGCCAAAGACUGACGCUGAGGCGCGAAAGCGUGGGUAGCGAACUGAAUUAGAUACUCAGG
RNAcentral lists this ribosomal RNA (461 nucleotides) under uncultured bacterium. Its description in RNAcentral is "bacterial SSU rRNA". It matches the Rfam family "Bacterial small subunit ribosomal RNA", at positions 338 to 790 of the family's 1533-position model. The record is from RNAcentral.